UACGUAGGUGGCAAGCGUUGUCCGGAAUUAUUGGGCGUAAAGCGCGCGCAGGCGGUCCUUUAAGUCUGAUGUGAAAGCCCACGGCUCAACCGUGGAGGGUCAUUGGAAACUGGGGGACUUGAGUGCAGAAGAGGAAAGCGGAAUUCCACGUGUAGCGGUGAAAUGCGUAGAGAUGUGGAGGAACACCAGUGGCGAAGGCGGCUUUCUGGUCUGUAACUGACGCUCAUGCACGACAGCGUGGGGAUCAAACAGG
RNAcentral lists this ribosomal RNA (253 nucleotides) under uncultured bacterium. RNAcentral's name for it is "partial 16S ribosomal RNA". It matches the Rfam family "Bacterial small subunit ribosomal RNA", at positions 524 to 776 of the family's 1533-position model. The record is from RNAcentral.